Molecule: ribosomal RNA, 253 nt
Filed under: uncultured bacterium
Lineage: Bacteria
Description: partial 16S ribosomal RNA
Rfam family: Bacterial small subunit ribosomal RNA
Source: RNAcentral
GACGAACCGUGCGAACGUUGUCCGGAAUCAUUGGGCGUAAAGCGCGCGUAGGUGGCCUCAUAAGUCCGUUGUGAAAGUCAAAGGCUCAACCUUUGAAAGCCGAUGGAUACUGUGAGACUAGAGUACGGAAGAGGCGAGUGGAAUUCCUGGUGUAGCGGUGAAAUGCGCAGAUAUCAGGAAGAACACCAAUGGCGAAGGCAGCUCUCUGGGACGGUACUGACGCUGAGACGCGAAAGCGUGGGGAGCGAACAGG